GACGAACGCUGGCGGCGUGCUUAACACAUGCAAGUCGAACGAUGAAGCCGGAGCUUGCUCUGGUGAAUUAGUGGCGAACGGGUGAGUGACACGUGAGUAACCUGCCCUUGACUCUGGGAUAACUGCGGGAAACUGUAGCUAAUACCGGGUACGACCCUCGGAGGCAUCUCCUGGGGGUGGAAAGAAUUUCGGUCAAGGAUGGACUCGCGGCCUAUCAGCUAGUUGGUGAGGUAAAGGCUCACCAAGGCGACGACGGGUAGCCGGCCUGAGAGGGUGACCGGCCACACUGGGACUGAGACACGGCCCAGACUCCUACGGGAGGCAGCAGUGGGGAAUAUUGCACAAUGGGCGCAAGCCUGAUGCAGCAACGCCGCGUGAGGGAUGACGGCCUUCGGGUUGUAAACCUCUUUUAGCAGGGAAGAAGCGAAAGUGACGGUACCUGCAGAAAAAGCACCGGCUAACUACGUGCCAGCCGCCGCAGUAA
RNAcentral lists this ribosomal RNA (484 nucleotides) under uncultured bacterium. RNAcentral's name for it is "partial 16S ribosomal RNA". It matches the Rfam family "Bacterial small subunit ribosomal RNA", at positions 28 to 523 of the family's 1533-position model. The record is from RNAcentral.